RNAcentral lists this long non-coding RNA (1319 nucleotides) under Phoenix dactylifera (date palm). RNAcentral's name for it is "long non-coding RNA (PDAC_LNC015035)". The record is from RNAcentral. Lineage: Eukaryota; Viridiplantae; Streptophyta; Magnoliopsida; Arecales; Arecaceae.
GUCUCUUCAAAUUUUCUAUGUAUAGACUAUUACCAAUGUGCUUAACUUCUCAUUUGGGGACUUUGGAUGCCUAGGUGUCAACUAAGUGGUGUUCAUAGGCUAUUUUAGGUAGAUAUCUUGUUCUGCAUUGUCACGUCCUAGAUCCAGAAUACAACAUGGUCGUGUUAUCGAGAGGUAUAGCCCACGAUAAUACGAAGCCAACAUUACAUUUAGCUUUCAAAUUCAUCACAAAUAAAAUAGAAUAACUAAAAGUCUAAUUUCAAUAUCCAUUAAAUAAAACCAAUAUUAGUUCAGAGCGUCUGCAUUCAAACAUAAAAAUCAAACCCAUAAUUCUUACUAUUCAGAAAAUCACUAACUACAAAUUUAUAAUUUAAUUAAAGAACUAAAGUUCUACUCUGCUAUAUCGAUCGCCAAUCUUGCUAGCGUGAACUCCAAACUAGUGUCAUUUUGUGUUCCUAUCAACCCUAUUCAUCAAGAGAGAGAAUAGAAAAAUAGAGGUAUAUGAGCGACACAAUUUAAUAAGUAAAUCUUUCGCUAAUUUACCGAAUCAAGCAUAUGUUUUUUUAUAUAAAUGCAUCAUUUAAGAAAAAUAAUAGAUAUUACAAAAUAAGCAUUUCAUAAUACGAUAUAUUAAAACUACGUCAUUAAGCAAAUCAUCCAUCUUUUAUAAACAUAGUACCAAGUUUCUUAUUGCAAAUGAAUUCGUAAAUCAUUUUUCAUGUCAUGUAAUUCUAUCAUGGAUCAAAAUAUUGCUCAUAGAUAUUCGUGCUAUAGUCACUAUAACCCAUGAGAGAGCCAUCUUCGUAAUCAACAAGAUAUUAUAAUUCAUACUUGUUACCAGCUUUAACUUGUUGGCAGAAUGCAGUUAGUUAGAUGCUAGCUCCAAAGUAUCGAUUGACCCCUAUUUGUAGAGGCAGUCCGAGCAAUCUGAGAGCCUUUGAAAACUUAUAUUUUUUUCUUGAAACAUACAGUAAGCGACCCGGGCACCAGGAUAUGGACUCAAUCAAGACCAAGGUUAUUUAACAUAGUUCAUCAUUACUGGAUUCUAUGGACACUUGGCAAAGUCGGGUGAUCUGUACAGUAGGCAACCCGGGCACCAGAGUAGUUUAGGAACCUAAUUCAGGGGUCAACUCGAGUUCGUAGAUCAAGUCGACAUGAUCCGACUCCAGAUUUCUUGAACAUUCUAAAGAGAGAAAGGAGAGAGAAAGUACAAAGAGAAAGUGGAGAGAGGAGAGAGAAAGUAGAAAAAAAGUGAAGAGGGGAGAGAGAAGAGAGAGAAAAUAAGAGAGAGAAAGAUGAGAGAGAAAAAAGAGAGAGAA